Molecule: ribosomal RNA, 470 nt
Filed under: uncultured beta proteobacterium
Lineage: Bacteria; Pseudomonadati; Pseudomonadota; Betaproteobacteria
Description: bacterial SSU rRNA
Rfam family: Bacterial small subunit ribosomal RNA
Source: RNAcentral
GGAGGAAAGCAGGGGAUCGCAAGACCUUGCGCUCAUUGAGCGGCCGAUGCCUGAUUAGCUAGUUGGUGAGGUAAAGGCUUACCAAGGCGACGAUCAGUAGCUGGUCUGAGAGGACGACCAGCCACACUGGGACUGAGACACGGCCCAGACUCCUACGGGAGGCAGUAGUGGGGAAUUUUGGACAAUGGGGGAAACCCCGAUCCAGCCAUGCCGCGUGAGUGAAGAAGGCCUUCGGGUUGUAAAGCUCUUUCAGCCGGAACGAAACGGUCACGGCUAAUACCUGUGACUACUGACGGUACCGGAAGAAGAAGCACCGGCUAACUACGUGCCAGCAGCCGCGGUAAUACGUAGGGUGCGAGCGUUAAUCGGAAUUACUGGGCGUAAAGCGUGCGCAGGCGGUUUUGUAAGUCAGAUAUGAAAUCCCCGGGCUUAACCUGGGAACUGCGUUGAUUUAACGAGGCUAGAAGGGC